CCCUCGGUCGUCUAGUUGGUUCAUGGCGUCUGGCUGUAAUGUAGAUCGCUACCAGAAUGUCGCGCGUUCGACUCGCGCCUGAGGGA
Molecule: transfer RNA, 86 nt
Filed under: Blumeria hordei DH14
Lineage: Eukaryota; Fungi; Ascomycota; Leotiomycetes; Helotiales; Erysiphaceae
Description: tRNA-Tyr for anticodon GUA
Source: RNAcentral